Molecule: long non-coding RNA, 579 nt
Filed under: Homo sapiens (human)
Lineage: Eukaryota; Metazoa; Chordata; Mammalia; Primates; Hominidae
Description: long intergenic non-protein coding RNA 671
Source: RNAcentral
AGUUGUCCUUGACUGCAUGGUUUCUGCUGGUCCAAGCAAACUUCUCCUGCCACGCCUAACCUUGGAGAGCAGGUACCCAAGCAAGCCACUCCUCAGGCAUUUUCCCCACAACUAGAAAUCCAGAGGCUUUGGAUCUUGAGAAGAACAUGAAGGAAAGAUGCCAGGAAGUACAGUCUGGUCUGCUGAUGAUGAUCAAUGGAGGAAGUGUUUCAUGGUGGACAUGGGAAACUGGCCAGAUCAACUGCUGUCACCUUCUAAAGAGAGGGUUUUGCCAUGUUGCCAGGCUGGUCUCGAACUCCUGGACUCAAGUGAUCUGCCUGCCUCAGCCUCCCAAAGUGCUGGAAUUAUAGGACCCAGACGGGGAGGAGGAAUGCCAGAGAAGCUGCAGACUCUCCGGCCACGGAGCCUGAGUGGAGCAGAGGUGGCCCACUGUCAGCCACAGGUCAAGUGUCAGGGUGGGGACGGGGCAGGCUCCACCAGAAGGCGGGGGCAGGCUCCACCAGAAGGCGGGGCCAGACCACAGGGCAAGGUGGAGAUGAGUCUGUGGCACCCCCAGGAAGUUUACCAGAUUUGCCCCAG